Molecule: ribosomal RNA, 305 nt
Filed under: uncultured bacterium
Lineage: Bacteria
Description: bacterial SSU rRNA
Rfam family: Bacterial small subunit ribosomal RNA
Source: RNAcentral
AGUUCCUACGGGAGGCAGCAGUGAGGAAUAUUGGUCAAUGGCCGGAAGGCUGAACCAGCCAAGUCGCGUGAGGGAAGACUGCCCUAUGGGUUGUAAACCUCUUUUGUCAGGGAGCAACGCCGGCUACGUGUAGCCGGACUGAGAGUACCUGAAGAAAAAGCAUCGGCUAACUCCGUGCCAGCAGCCGCGGUAAUACGGAGGAUGCGAGCGUUAUCCGGAUUUAUUGGGUUUAAAGGGUGCGUAGGCGGAAUGCCAAGUCAGCGGGAAAAUCGCGGGGCUCACCCUCGCUCCGCCGUUGAAACUGG